Molecule: ribosomal RNA, 253 nt
Filed under: uncultured bacterium
Lineage: Bacteria
Description: partial 16S ribosomal RNA
Rfam family: Bacterial small subunit ribosomal RNA
Source: RNAcentral
UACGUAGGGUGCAAGCGUUGCCCGGAUUUAUUGGGCGUAAAGGGCGCGUAGGCGGCUCGGAACGUCCGUUGUGAAAUCGCCCGGCUCAACUGGGCGGGGUCAGCGGAUACGGCCGAGCUUGAGCAAGCUAGGGGGCAAUGGAAUUCCCGGUGUAGUGGUGGAAUGCGUAGAUAUCGGGAGGAACACCAGUGGCGAAGGCGACUACCUGGCCUGUUCUUGACGCUGAGGCGCGAAAGCUAGGGGAGCAAACGGG